RNAcentral lists this ribosomal RNA (253 nucleotides) under uncultured bacterium. RNAcentral describes it as "partial 16S ribosomal RNA". It matches the Rfam family "Bacterial small subunit ribosomal RNA", at positions 524 to 776 of the family's 1533-position model. The record is from RNAcentral.
UACGUAGGGGGCAAGCGUUGUCCGGAGUUAUUGGGCGUAAAGAGCGUGUAGGCGGCCAGGUAGGUCUGCUGUGAAAACUCGAGGCUCAACCUCGAGACGUCGGCGGAAACCAUCUGGCUAGAGUCCGGAAGAGGAGAGUGGAAUUCCUGGUGUAGCGGUGAAAUGCGCAGAUAUCAGGAAGAACACCCGUGGCGAAGGCGGCUCUCUGGGACGGUACUGACGCUGAGACGCGAAAGCGUGGGGAGCGAACAGG